Molecule: long non-coding RNA, 821 nt
Filed under: Androctonus crassicauda
Lineage: Eukaryota; Metazoa; Arthropoda; Arachnida; Scorpiones; Buthidae
Source: RNAcentral
UGGUGCGUAAACUUAUUACUAACAGAAAAAAAAUGAUAGCUAUUAUAUAUACUAAAUACUGUAUAUUAAAUAAUUAAUAAUAAUAAUGACAUCAAUGCUGUAAAAAUGUUGAUUGAUAUUGGAAAAAAAAUAAAAAGUUUUGUACAUCAGUCAAACUCAUCAAAAGCUUCAGCUUUGUGAACUUCUGGGUAAUCUUAAGCAUUGGUAGAUGUUGGUAAAUUCCUAUAAAAAUCAUGGCACACAGAAGGUAGAAAUAGCAACAAUGAUAUCAGGUCUUCAUAUUUUUGCAUAGAAAUCAAUGACAAGUUAUUAGAAACAGGAAGUAAAGCUUCAGGACAUCUAAUGUUUUUACUUCUCCAGUAUCUUCUUAAAUCAAGUUCUUAAAAGUCAUCAUCAAAAGAAGUUUUAAACAAUUUCCAGUAUCAUCUUGAAGAAUCUGAAAGUGAACACAUUUAGACAUUAACAUAGGUUGUUUAUAAGUAUCAAGUUUUCUUGAGACAAAAGGAGCUUCUCUGCCAAUAAACAAUGAUUUUAAUUGCUUAGUUGUCACAUUCCAUGUUGUGUACAGGGUAUUUAAUAAUUGUUUGGCAUAGAUGUUGCUGCCAGUCCCAAGGUGUCAGUAUUUGCAGGUUUCGUGUUUUUUUUUUCUUUUCUGUAUUACUAUGAACUGUGUCAGUGGCCUUUUAAGAAGUUUUGAUCUCUUCAUUGAAUCUGUGGUUAGGUUUUCAAAGUCCAAAAAAAGGCCAACAAUAGACAUUUCUUAUUUUAACCAUAACAAUUAUCUGUCCAUAAGAUAAUUUAUUGAAUCGUAAAAUCUGGUA